GCCAGUGAUUGUGCCGUCGGUUUCCUUCGGGAAUUGAAAGGGAAUCCGUUCCGGCCUCGGUCGGCAAACGGAACUGCCCCCGCAACUGUAGGCGGUGAGUGCCUCUCGAUGAGCCACUGGGACCAUCCCGGGAAGGCGAGAGGUGCCGCGACCCGUCAGUCAGGAGACCUGCCGACGAGAGAAACCACGA
This 190-nucleotide non-coding RNA is filed under the name Thioclava dalianensis. Lineage: Bacteria; Pseudomonadati; Pseudomonadota; Alphaproteobacteria; Rhodobacterales; Paracoccaceae. The record is from RNAcentral.